Molecule: RNA transcript, 2568 nt
Organism: Vanessa atalanta (red admiral)
Lineage: Eukaryota; Metazoa; Arthropoda; Insecta; Lepidoptera; Nymphalidae
Gene name: serine/threonine-protein phosphatase alpha-2 isoform-like
Exons: 8
Source: RefSeq, a predicted model, not a curated record
UGUUAUACGUUUGGUUGUGUGAGUGAUGUCUUGGACUCUCCGCCAUUGAAUUUCAUUUUAGCCGAGAAUUGAAAUAGGGUGAACCUUUCGCAAUCGGCAAAAAUCUUACCAAUCCUUUUUCUAUUUCUUAUUCUAUUUAGUCAUAUUUCGUGCACAAACAUUAUAUCCAAUGGCAGACAGAGACACAGAUGAGUUAAACAUCGAUAACGUAAUAAAAAAAUUAUUAAAAGUGCGAGGCGAGAAGCCUGGCAUGAAUGUACAGUUAUCGGAAAUUGAGAUUAAAGGGCUAUGCUUGAAAUCACGAGAAAUAUUCUUGUCACAACCGAUAUUACUUGAGUUAGAAGCACCAUUAAAAAUAUGUGGUGACAUCCACGGUCAAUACUAUGACUUGUUAAGGCUGUUUGAAUACGGCGGUUUUCCACCAGAGUCAAAUUAUUUGUUCCUCGGCGACUACGUGGACCGCGGUAAACAGUCAUUAGAAACGAUAUGUCUGCUACUCGCGUACAAGAUUAAAUAUCCAGAGAACUUCUUCUUAUUAAGAGGGAACCAUGAAUGCGCUAGCAUUAAUAGAAUUUAUGGAUUCUACGACGAAUGCAAAAGGAGGUACAACAUCAAACUAUGGAAAACUUUCACGGACUGCUUCAACUGUUUACCGGUUGCCGCGAUAGUUGACGAGAAGAUCUUCUGCUGCCACGGCGGUCUAUCUCCAGAUUUACAGGCGAUGGAACAAAUCCGACGGAUCAUGCGACCGACCGACGUGCCCGACCAGGGCUUACUCUGCGACCUGCUUUGGUCCGAUCCGGAUAAGGACACCGCCGGUUGGGGAGAGAACGACCGUGGCGUCAGCUUUACAUUCGGCAUUGAGGUGGUGGGCAAGUUCCUGUCGAAACACGAGUUCGACCUGAUCUGUCGGGCGCACCAAGUGGUCGAGGACGGCUACGAGUUCUUCGCCAAGCGGCAGCUCGUCACGCUGUUCUCCGCGCCCAACUACUGCGGGGAGUUCGAUAACGCAGGCGCGCUGAUGUCGGUGGACGAGACGCUGAUGUGCUCGUUCCAGAUCCUGAAGCCGGCCGACAAGCGCAAGCUGUACUCCGGCCUCAACAUGGGCCGCCCCAACACGCCGCCGCGCGCGCAGCCCAAGAACAAGAAGAAGUGAGUCGCCCCGAAGUAUGUCGCAUAGGUAGGCGGCUGCCGAGGGGUCGCCUGGUGGCAAGCGGUCACCGCUGUCCAUAGAUAUUGUUAAACCCCCGACCGCCGCCAUCGCAUCGAAGUCGACGACUUGCAUGGAUUCCCACGCUAAUUAAUUAUCUUUUAAUUAAAUCAAUAUCAUCGCCAUUUCCUUUCAAAUAUUUGAAACCCGUAAUAAUUUUGCCUAUAAAUGUAUCGCCUUCGUAUUGUCGAUUCUUCCAACUUCAAACAAAAUCAUUUAUUUAUAUUCAAUUUUUUGUUUUGUUAACACAAAUUCACGUCGAAUAGUUUUAAUGUUUGAUUUCAUUCGAUUUAACAAUUGCUGGACAAUUGUGUUCAGUGUAGACAUGGGCUUAUCGGCUAACAAAAUCUUUGCCUUGAGUUACAAAUUUAAAAAAAAAAUCACUAACUGUCACAAGUAUGCAACAUUCACUUUAAAGUAAAAAACACGUAAUUGAAAUUCCAAGCUCACAGCUUCCUUAUAGCGUGAGCUACGAGUGUUGUAAGUGUAAACAAAUGGCUCCGGGGAGUCCAAGUGGGAGGCGCGUAAGGUGUGAAUGCUAGUAUGUAUUAUUGUAUGUUCGUUCGUAUGUCUGCUCUUACGCUUGUGUCGUACUCAAUAUCCAUAUUUGUAAGGCGUUACGCGAUUUUGAUGUAGCAUUCUAUGAUUAUUUAGCAACAGUCUCACUGCCAAUGAACGGAAACGGAUCGCUCCGACGGCAAGUACAGCCGGAUUGUUACAUUGAAACCGCGCAGCGAUAUUAAUUAAUGACUUUGAGUAUAUCGGAUAAACGUUUAUAAUUAAGUAGUAAGCGUAAUUAUUUGUGAACAGCCUAGGUCUUCCGAGACGAUUACAUUUUCGACGUUUCAACCGUCCUCUAGUGGUUGGACGCUUUUAGAUCAUGGUGUAGUGUGCUUUGUGCGUACUUCGUGUCUGCGAUCCCGCGCUGUAUAAACCUUUUUAAAUAAGGCCGCUCCCGCACGGACCGUUUUAACUGACUCUGUUUUUUUUUUACUUUUGUAUAGUGCAAUGACCUUAAUGAAAUGAAAAUAAAAAAAAAUUAAAAUAUUGAACGUGUUUUAUUAAAUGAAGCGAUUCGAAUCGCAUGAGCGUCUUUUUAUAAUAAUUAUGAUAAAAUGUAUUUAUAAAAACUUAAUUUUUGUCAUGUAAUUAUUAAUCGGUCCGUGUCCAACUCCAAACAGUAACAUUUAAAAAAAACCAUUGGAGCGCGGGAAGCGAUGCAUUGAAUCACUAUUUAUUUUCGCUAUGAAUCAGACUGAGCCCCGUACGUGGCCGAUGGCCGACUUAAAUCAAUGAUUUAUUGAUGUAUGAACAAGAGAAUUGUAUAUUAAUUUCGUAAAUAAAAUACUUUCUGAAUA